GAUGAACGCUGGCGGCGUGCCUAAUACAUGCAAGUCGAGCGAACAGACGAGGAGCUUGCUCCACUGACGUUAGCGGCGGAAGGGUGAGUAACACGUGGAUAACCUCCCUAUAAGUCUGGGAUCACUUCGGGAAACCGGAGCUAAUACCGGAUAAUAUAUUAAACCGCAUGGUUCAAUAGUGAACGACGGUUUUGCUGUCACUUUUAGAUGGAUCCGCGCCGCAUUAGCUAGUUGGUCAGGUAACGGCUUACCAAGGCAACGAUGCGUAGCCGACCUGAGAGGGUGAUCAGCCACACUGGAACUGAGACACGGUCCAGACUCCUACGGGAGGCAGCAGUAGGGAAUCUUCCGCAAUGGGCGAAAGCCUGACGGAGCAACGCCGCGUGAGUGAUGAAGGUCUUCGGAUCGUAAAACUCUGUUAUUAGGGAAGAACAAAUGUGUAAGUAACUAUGCACGUCUUGACGGUACCUAAUCAGAAAGCCACGGCUAACUACGUG
This 497-nucleotide ribosomal RNA is filed under the name uncultured bacterium. Its description in RNAcentral is "partial 16S ribosomal RNA". It matches the Rfam family "Bacterial small subunit ribosomal RNA", at positions 28 to 507 of the family's 1533-position model. The record is from RNAcentral.